CAGAGCCUGUUAAGUUUCACGUGGAAUGCUCAGUUUGAAAAACUAUAUAUAAAUAUAUUGCCAGUAAUGCUGACAGCGUUUACACUGUGAGGUAGAACCAGUUGGGCUGGAAACCAAAUUUGCUGAAGAGACUAGCUCUAGAGCAUGCAAGCUGUCGUGCAUAGGAAAGAUGGGAAAAGAAACUUGGAUUUAUCCUCUGUUGUAGAGCACUGAAGGAUACGCUUACCUGCAGUGUGUUUAAGACCUUGAACUCUGUGCCUGGCCUUGCAGCUUUAGCUAUCCGAUCCACCUCACAAUGACCAGCACUGAGGGCAUGACAUGGCACGCGAUCCUUCCUGCAGGAGCCUCGAUGGUGCUUGUGACAAGGUCAGGAUUGGUAAGGGAAAGACCUGGGUUCUUGUACCUACUCAUGAGACUCUUUCUGCAUUUCAUCCAGUGAGCGAAGUGGAGGUUUUCCCACCCUCAGGGAUCACUCUUACUGGCUUGGCCGGGGAAGGAAGAUGGCAGCUCUGGUGCGAUGCAGUCGUUUGA
This 531-nucleotide long non-coding RNA is filed under the name Struthio camelus australis. RNAcentral describes it as "lncRNA (ENSSCUG00000017205.1)". Lineage: Eukaryota; Metazoa; Chordata; Aves; Struthioniformes; Struthionidae. The record is from RNAcentral.